Molecule: ribosomal RNA, 384 nt
Filed under: uncultured bacterium
Lineage: Bacteria
Description: bacterial SSU rRNA
Rfam family: Bacterial small subunit ribosomal RNA
Source: RNAcentral
UGAGGAAUAUUGGGCAAUGCCCGCAAGGGGGACCCAGCAACGCCGCGUGGAGGAUGAAUGUCGUAAGAUUGUAAACUCCUGUUAGAGGGGAAGAAUAGUACCGGUUGGACCGGUAUAUGACUGUACCCUCAGAGAAAGCCCCGGCUAACUACGUGCAAGCAGCCGCGGUAAGACGUAGGGGGCAAGCGUUGUCCGGAUUUACUGGGUGUAAAGGGCGCGCAGGCGGGAUAAAAAGUCAGUGGUGAGAUCCUACAGCUUAACUGUAGAACUGCCUUUGAUACUUUUAUUCUUGAGUUCGGGAGAUAGCGACGGAAUUCCCGGUGUGGUGGUGAAAUACGUAGAUAUCUGGAAGAACACCAGUUGCGAAGGCGGUCUCUUGGUCCG